RNAcentral lists this unclassified non-coding RNA (363 nucleotides) under uncultured bacterium. Its description in RNAcentral is "contains 16S-23S intergenic spacer region". The record is from RNAcentral.
UCCCCGUUACCGGGGCAGUCUACUUAGAAAAAUCCAACUAAGUAUAAGGGUUGCGCUCGUUGAUGGACUUAACCAAACAUCUCACGACACGAGCUGACGACGGCCAUGCAUCACCUGUCACAAGGUUCCAAAAGGCACACGCUACUUUCAUAGUGUUUCCUUGGAUGUCAAGCCCUGGUAAGGUUCUACGUUUAGCAUCGAAUUAAAGAACAUGAUCCGCUGCUUGUGCGGUCCCCCGUCAAUUCCUUUAUGUUUUAGUCUUGCGACCGUACUCCACAGGCGGGAUACUUAACGCGUUAGCUUCGUUACCAAGGGGGUCGAUACCCCUGACAACUAGUAUCCAUCGUUUACGGCGUGGACUAC